UGUUCCUGAAAAUAGGUCAAUAUGGUGAGGAAUGAAAGGGAAAACACUGAGAAGGAAACAGAAAAAUGAAUUGUGUGGUUCUAAGAAGAUAGUGUUCAUGAGCAGACCACAGAAAGAGGUGGUACUAGAAAGAUAAUGAUUGUAUUUGGAAGUGCAAAUUUGAGACGUACGAAAACCUAUGGAAAAAAAUAGAGGAGAUUUGAGCAGUAAAAUCAAAACUUUGAUUAGUUCUUUCAAGACAAGAAUAGAGAACGUGAUCCUCAUAAGGACAGCUCUAUUACCUUUUCUAUUAGAGUGAAUUUUCAGUCCUGCUUCCCCACUUUUUUUUUCUUUUAGUUGAAGUUUUUCUCUGGCAAUAUUGCAACCUUUUCAACCAAACCGCUGUUGCCUUGGUCAUGUAUAGCUCCAGAAACAUCAUCAAAACUUUCUGUGGCUCAUAUGCCUGUCUCUUAAUGGGGGAGUUGCCUCUCAGAAAGAGUGGUCUUAUAUUCCUGGAGUAAGUGCUCACACAGUCAAAUGGGCUUUGGGAACCAAAGGAAAUAAUGUGAGGUUCAAAACACCUCCAGCUUAAUGUAUUUCCCCCCUUCUCCUCAUUUACCCGGUUUUUCAAGAAAUCAGCCAGGCAAAGCUGUUCAAAUCUGAUGCUGGUAAAACUGUGAAAGUUUAACAUAGAAAAAGGAGAAGCAUUUCUAUAUGCCACAGUGAAUACCAAAACAUAUUUGAUAACACUGGCUUAAUGUAAGUGUGAUAAAGCAGUUUUUAGCAUAACGUUUUAUAUUGUCUCAUUGCAUGAUACCUAGCAGAUCUUUGGCAGUGUGAUCCAUAAAGACAAAAUAAUACAUAAAAGAUGCAGUACAAGGAAAGAUAAAUUGAGGGCAUAAAUUUCCUUUUGAGCUCCAAGCUGUGCCGUGAGGGGAAGCACAUACAAAUAACUUCUGUCCAUCCACAAAAGUCAGAAUGCCUCACCCUUGCAGUUUUGAAACUAAAUUCUUGUCACUCUAAAUGAUGCUUUGGCUGGGCCGUGAUCAACAGAACACAGAAUUUCAAGGUCUCUAGGAUGAACAAGUUCUUAUUAACCUAUCUAUUCUUGUGUUAAAGGCACUGAGAAGUGUCUGUGUUCUCUUGUAGGGAGGUGACAGUGACUGACUAUGUACCACCAGCUCUUCAAGCUUCUCCUUGCAACAGUCUCUCCUCACAGUCCCAGUGUUUUCAGUGUUCAGGUGCUGUAACUUGAGAUAAUAUCCAGAGUGCUUGAAUUGAAACUUCUAUGAAGAAUACACACUCGUUUGUCCCCGAACAAGAAAAAAUGUGAACAUAUACAUUGUAUAUUUCAGUGCCCAGCCCAGAAAAUCACAUCAGAUCCCUGUAGAGGUGUUCAGUACUCUGGUUUUAGACCUGGAAACUGUAUAUGAGAUCAGCAAGGUGUGAUACUUUCCUAACACAGAAGCUGAGAUUUUGCAAUCCAGGAGCUCUGCAGAGGUGUGUGCUGCUCUUGGAAGGAGCUUGGAUGUCUCUGAUGUGCUGCUGCCGUGCUCCUGAUGGACAAAGCCUCAAAUAUCUGGGGUUUUUUUUGAAUUUUAAUAAGUCAUCUCUGACCAAAAUACCUGAGAAGCCCUCUACUGCUGGAACAUCCUCUGAUACGCGUUCCUAAACCUCUCCUGGGUAAAAGAUCAAACGGGUUGAGAACACCCAACUAAGACCAAGAAGAGAUGCAAAGGAAAGAGAGGUGGUCUCAAGAAGACUGAACAGUUACAAUGUGGAGAGCUGAAGUGCUGCUAAACAAGGGAGGCCAGAAUUUCUCUAGCUGUGGCAACUGAGCCCCAUGACUGGAGCUUGUUCUGCCAGCUGUUGGUAUUUUAUUUGUGUUCAGAUGGUGACAGAAGGCCUCAACAAUGACAAGUUCAGUAUCAGGAGGUGUUGGUCAGCACCUGAAGAUUCAGGCUGUUCCUGAACAACCUUCGAGCUAAACAAACCAGUUGAGUUAUCCCACUUUGGGAUAAUCAUUAGGAAGUAAGUGCCCAAACAAGAUUUAUGGAUCUGUGCCAGCAUGCCUGUGAAGGUCAGAUGGGUGUGUAGGGAACAUGAAGAACUGAGCCCUGUGGCCUCGAUUUGUUGGCUGGAGUGUAGGCAUCGCUUCAACUGAUCUCAUUCUGAGAAGACUGUGAAAAGGGAAUGGAGAAUUUAAUUUCACACUUCCUAACAUUUUAAACUGUACAGGAAUAUUUUUGGCACACGAGGCAGUAGAGUACAGGAAUCACUUCAGCACUGCUUAUGAAUGGAG
Chiroxiphia lanceolata (lance-tailed manakin) is the source of this 2281-nucleotide long non-coding RNA. RefSeq lists it as uncharacterized. The transcript is spliced from 4 exons. NCBI's taxonomy places the organism in Eukaryota, Metazoa, Chordata, Aves, Passeriformes, Pipridae. The record is from RefSeq and is a predicted model, not a curated record.